UUCAUAACUUUUGAUUCGUUGUAGAAGUGUUAUAUAAAGAGAAUACUUAUAUUCUUUCAGCUUAUAUAUAUAAUUGCUAUUACUUGUUGGGCACUCAAAUGCUCAUCCUUGCUUAAAUUAAAUGUUUUCAGUUACGUAUGAGCAACCUGAAGGUUCAGGCACGCAUAAAGGGAAAGAAAAGCUGUUCGAAUGAGAAUUAGUAUGAGGUAAUGAUUAUAGUUAGUAAGACAAUCGAAUCUAUUGUCAGGUAUUGUAAGGAAUGUAUUUUGAAGGUCACGUACCUGGGGAAGUAAACUUUGAUGUAUAUAAAUUAAAUUUGAAUUAUAUUAUCAUUUAGUAUUAUUCAGCUUAAAGAAAUGGUAUCGUGG
Molecule: long non-coding RNA, 368 nt
Filed under: Panax ginseng (ginseng)
Lineage: Eukaryota; Viridiplantae; Streptophyta; Magnoliopsida; Apiales; Araliaceae
Description: long non-coding RNA (PGIN_LNC000916)
Source: RNAcentral